Molecule: ribosomal RNA, 253 nt
Filed under: uncultured bacterium
Lineage: Bacteria
Description: partial 16S ribosomal RNA
Rfam family: Bacterial small subunit ribosomal RNA
Source: RNAcentral
UACAGAGGUCCCGAGCGUUGUUCGGAUUCACUGGGCGUAAAGGGUGCGUAGGUGGGCAAGUAAGUCAGUGGUGAAAUCUCCGGGCUUAACCCGGAAACUGCCAUUGAUACUAUUUGUCUUGAAUACUGUGGAGGUCAGCGGAAUAUGUCAUGUAGCGGUGAAAUGCUUAGAUAUGACAUAGAACACCAAUUGCGAAGGCAGCUGGCUACACAAAUAUUGACACUGAGGCACGAAAGCGUGGGGAUCAAACAGG